RNAcentral lists this ribosomal RNA (386 nucleotides) under uncultured bacterium. Its description in RNAcentral is "partial 16S ribosomal RNA". It matches the Rfam family "Bacterial small subunit ribosomal RNA", at positions 523 to 918 of the family's 1533-position model. The record is from RNAcentral.
AUACGUAGGGGGCGAGCGUUAUCCGGAUUUAUUGGGCGUAAAGCGUGUGUAGGCGGUUUGUUAAGUUUAAGAUUAAAGCCCGAGGCUUAACCUCGGUUCGUCUUAAAAACUGGCAGACUUGAGUGCAGUAGAGGCAAGUGGAAUUUCUAGUGUAGCGGUUAAAUGCGUAGAUAUUAGAAGGAACACCAGUGGCGAAGGCGGCUUGCUGGGCUGUUACUGACGCUGAGACACGAAAGCGUGGGGAGCAAAUAGGAUUAGAUACCCUAGUAGUCCACGCCGUAAACGAUGAGUACUAAGUGUCGGGUAACCGGUGCUGAAGUUAACACAUUAAGUACUCCGCCUGAGUAGUACGGUCGCAAGGCUGAAACUUAAAGGAAUUGACGGGG